UGCCAGCCGCCGCGGUAAUACGUAGGGUGUUAACGUUGUUCGGAAUCACUGGGCAUAAAGCGCACGUAGGCGGCUAGGUCAGUUUGGUGUGAAAGCCCUCGGCUCAACCGGGGAACUGCAUCGGAUACUGCCUGGCUUGAGGACGGUUGGGGUGAGUGGAACUCCUGGUGGAGCGGUGAAAUGCGUAGAUAUCAGGAGGAACACCAGUGGCGAAGGCGGCUUACUGGGCCUUUUCUGACGCUGAGGCACGAAAGCUAGGGGAGCGAACGGGAUUAGAUA
RNAcentral lists this ribosomal RNA (279 nucleotides) under uncultured bacterium. Its description in RNAcentral is "partial 16S ribosomal RNA". It matches the Rfam family "Bacterial small subunit ribosomal RNA", at positions 506 to 784 of the family's 1533-position model. The record is from RNAcentral.